Molecule: ribosomal RNA, 1035 nt
Filed under: Triticum aestivum (bread wheat)
Lineage: Eukaryota; Viridiplantae; Streptophyta; Magnoliopsida; Poales; Poaceae
Description: partial small subunit ribosomal RNA
Source: RNAcentral
AUGGGCCGCCGCACACCGUUCCCACCACUCCGACGGACAGCCACACGGCGGCAACCACCUGGAUCUGGCACGGACUCUGGCCCAGAUCGGCUUGCACCUCCACCUCUGAUUUGUGGGCCAUUUUUCCGACUGAAGCCCAAGCCCAUAUCGAUGUUGGUUUCCUCCUCCAGUCCAGUCCAGUCCAGUCCACCCCGUAGGCGAGAGAGGGGAGGCGCAGGUGGGUGCGUGAUGGCCGCCGUCGCCGGAGCCGGAGGAGGCGACGAGAUGCUGCUUCGGCGCUCGCGCCGGCGGCUGCCCCUCGCCGACCUCACGAACCUCUCCUCCGCCACCUCCGCCAUCACCCGCCUGAAGCGCAAUCCCCAGCACCGCACGAGCCCCGCCAGCAGCACCAGCAGCAUUGGCUCCUCCACCGUUCCCCGCAUCCCCACGCCUCCUCCGCCCGCGGCCCUCUCCGUUUCUACGACUAAGGGCAAGGAUAAAUCCACAAGGGAGCUUCAAAGUUCCAAUACUCAUCUAAACAAGAUUCAAAAGAUCAGUAAACCUAAGGUGAAGACUGGAGGCGUGCUACCUGGGACGUCAUCUCCUCCCAGCAAAAACACAAGGAAGAUAACAAGGAAAGAGCAGCCGCGCACAGAGUCUUUGAUCUCCACCUUGUAUGCCUCUAGUAAAACAAAGGCGAAGACUAGUGGAGACGUGCUGCCUGGGGCAUCAACACCUCCCACCAAAAAGAUAAUGAAGGUAACAAGGGAAGAGCAGCCGCGCACAGAGCCUUUGAUCUCCCCCUUGUAUGCCUCCAGUAAAACAGGGCUGAAGACUGGAGACGGGCUGCCUGGGGCAUCUUUGCCUCCCAGAAAAAAGACAAGGAAGGUAACAAGCAGCAGCAGGAAAGAGCAGAUGCAGAUGGAGGAGAUGAGUUGUGAUGAGUCCCUGGUACUGAGCGAGGAUUUCAUCAAGGAGCGGAGGGCCUACUUUGCGGAGAUCGAUGCAUUUGAGCUGGUAGAGGAGUUUGUUUCAUCAGGAAGCGACGCAGAGUAG